Molecule: ribosomal RNA, 468 nt
Filed under: uncultured bacterium
Lineage: Bacteria
Description: partial 16S ribosomal RNA
Rfam family: Bacterial small subunit ribosomal RNA
Source: RNAcentral
GACGAACGCUGGCGGCGUGCUUAACACAUGCAAGUCGAACGGAAAGGCCCUGCUUUUGUGGGGUGCUCGAGUGGCGAACGGGUGAGUAACACGUGAGUAACCUGCCCUUGACUUUGGGAUAACUUCAGGAAACUGGGGCUAAUACCGGAUAGGAGCUCCUGCUGCAUGGUGGGGGUUGGAAAGUUUCGGCGGUUGGGGAUGGACUCGCGGCUUAUCAGCUUGUUGGUGGGGUAGUGGCUUACCAAGGCUUUGACGGGUAGCCGGCCUGAGAGGGUGACCGGCCACAUUGGGACUGAGAUACGGCCCAGACUCCUACGGGAGGCGGCAGUGGGGAAUAUUGCACAAUGGGCGGAAGCCUGAUGCAGCAACGCCGCGUGCGGGAUGACGGCCUUCGGGUUGUAAACCGCCUUCGCCUGUGACGAAGCGUGAGUGACGGUAAUGGGUAAAGAAGCACCGGCUAACUACGUG